RNAcentral lists this ribosomal RNA (465 nucleotides) under Vreelandella stevensii. RNAcentral describes it as "partial 16S ribosomal RNA". It matches the Rfam family "Bacterial small subunit ribosomal RNA", at positions 338 to 795 of the family's 1533-position model. The record is from RNAcentral. Lineage: Bacteria; Pseudomonadati; Pseudomonadota; Gammaproteobacteria; Oceanospirillales; Halomonadaceae.
CCUACGGGCGGCAGCAGUGGGGAAUAUUGGACAAUGGGCGAAAGCCUGAUCCAGCCAUGCCGCGUGUGUGAAGAAGGCCUUCGGGUUGUAAAGCACUUUCAGUGGGGAAGAAAGCCUUGGGGCUAAUACCCUCGAGGAAGGACAUCACCCACAGAAGAAGCACCGGCUAACUCCGUGCCAGCAGCCGCGGUAAUACGGAGGGUGCGAGCGUUAAUCGGAAUUACUGGGCGUAAAGCGCGCGUAGGCGGUCUGAUAAGCCGGUUGUGAAAGCCCCGGGCUCAACCUGGGAACGGCAUCCGGAACUGUCAGGCUAGAGUGCAUGAGAGGAAGGUAGAAUUCCCGGUGUAGCGGUGAAAUGCGUAGAGAUCGGGAGGAAUACCAGUGGCGAAGGCGGCCUUCUGGACUGACACUGACGCUGAGGUGCGAAAGCGUGGGUAGCAAACAGGAUUAGAUACCCCGGUAGUC